Molecule: ribosomal RNA, 816 nt
Filed under: uncultured bacterium
Lineage: Bacteria
Description: bacterial SSU rRNA
Rfam family: Bacterial small subunit ribosomal RNA
Source: RNAcentral
AGAGGGUGAUUCUGGCUCAGGAUGAACGCUGGCGGCAUGCCUAAUACAUGCAAGUCGAACGAAGUCUUUAGGAAGCUUGCUUCCAAAGAGACUUAGUGGCGAACGGGUGAGUAACACGUAGGUAACCUGCCCAUGUGCCCGGGAUAACUGCUGGAAACGGUAGCUAAAACCGGAUAGGUAUGAGGGAGGCAUCUUCCUCAUAUUAAAGCACCUUCGGGUGUGAACAUGGAUGGACCUGCGGCGCAUUAGCUGGUUGGUGAGGUAACGGCCCACCAAGGCGAUGAUGCGUAGCCGACCUGAGAGGGUGAACGGCCACAUUGGGACUGAGACACGGCCCAAACUCCUACGGGAGGCAGCAGUAGGGAAUUUUCGUCAAUGGGGGAACCCUGAACGAGCAAUGCCGCGUGUGUGAAGAAGGUCUUCGGAUCGUAAAGCACUGUUGUAAGUGAAGAAUGCCAUAUAGAGGAAAUGCUAUGUGGGUGACGGUAGCUUACCAGAAAGCCACGGCUAACUACGUGCCAGCAGCCGCGGUAAUACGUAGGUGGCAAGCGUUAUCCGGAAUCAUUGGGCGUAAAGGGUGCGUAGGUGGCACGAUAAGUCUGAAGUAAAAGGCAACAGCUCAACUGUUGUAUGCUUUGGAAACUGUCGAGCUAGAGUGCAGAAGAGGGCGAUGGAAUUCCAUGUGUAGCGGUAAAAUGCGUAGAUAUAUGGAGGAACACCAGUGGCGAAGGCGGUCGCCUGGUCUGUAACUGACACUGAUGCACGAAAGCGUGGGGAGCAAAUAGGAUUAGAUACCCUAGUAGUCCACGCCGUAAA